RNAcentral lists this long non-coding RNA (1423 nucleotides) under Eptatretus burgeri (inshore hagfish). RNAcentral describes it as "lncRNA (ENSEBUG00000017169.1)". Lineage: Eukaryota; Metazoa; Chordata; Myxini; Myxiniformes; Myxinidae. The record is from RNAcentral.
CACAAUUUCAUUCCGCGAUUCCCGUUUUGCAGCAACAUUGGAGUCAUGCCGUCACGUGACUGACCCAAGUUUUAUUUGCGCGAGUGGACACUAUUUGGGCCGUUAUUACGUAUUCCUUCUUCCCACGUCAUGGCUUGAUUCCGCAGGUCCGAGGCCGCGUCCGACAUUGCCGCCUCCUCGUCAUGCCUCGUCUCAUCGCUCUGUUCUCCCGUUUAUCUGCGCAGAGUUCCUGCUGCCAGUCGUGGCGUGUCUCGGACUGCUUUGCGCUCUCGGAGCGUUCGCCUACCCGGCCGACCCCGAGUGCCACUUCACGGGCUUCCUGCUGAGCGUGCACGAAGCCGUGCGUCACCUGCGCUCCGAGCACGUGAGUGAUGACGCUGCAGAGCGCGCGCACGCGCUUCCCCCCCCCCCAGCAGCGUGACGUCACGAAGUACCGCUUUUAACGUACCCUCUCGUUCACAGUCUCGCGUGCAGCUGCAGUGCGCAUCGUCCGAGUGCGAGAGCGAGCUGAGCGGGGCCUGCCCGCCCGCGUGCCGCUCGUGCGCACUCGUGCUCGCGCCCUGCCGGGAUCCCGCGCGCCUCUCCGAGUGCUUCGACCGCAUCUCGAGCGUCAUGCGAGGGUACGACGACUCGCUGCAAGCUUUCCAACAGACGCUGUCGCCUCCCGUCGCAGGAGAGUCGCCGCUGUCUCUGUGUAAGCCGAAUGAAGUGGGAACGCUCAACUCCACCAUCAAUCGAGUUCAGAAUGCUCUCGCUGCACUCAAGAGUGGAGACGCUCUGCAGCCUGCAUCCAACCCAGCCCAGAACAUCACUUUCAUUGAUCCCGGGAUCACCGAGCCCUCGUGCUGGGAUGAGAAAGUCGGCACACACCUGUUCCUGCGCAAGUUUGAAUGGUGCACAAGGCGAGCGUACAGGGCCGCGAUCAGCGGGCCUUGUCGGCCCAUUUUGGUUUGAAUUUCCGUUCGACCCUUCACGUUCUUCAAAGGGUACAAUACAUGGAAUUCUCAACACAGGAGGAGGCCGUCAGGCCUCUCAUGCCCAAACCACAUGCACACCUCCUCACCCUUCAGCACAACAACCAAACCCACAGCACAAACCCGAUCCACCCUGGCACGCACUCGGUGCAAAGGGGAUGGGUGGGGGGGGGGAAGAGGUACGUCCAUCACAUGAACAAUCACAAAAUCUAAAUCCCAUCUUCGGUUUGAAUGUGACCACCACUGAUCAGCACAAUCACAACGCAAGCAAUCGACACGCCAUUUUGGUCUCAACAAAAUCAAUGCUCGUAUUUUAUGACGAUAAGUUAAUGUAUUGACCUCUGUAGUGAAACGAAUCCUCUUUGGAAGAAAUUUCUAUAUUUAUUUAUCAUUUAUAUUGCAGCAGAAUUAUUUUUAUUGGCAUAUUUUUGAUAUCAUCAUCAUCAUCA